UCUGACUCAGGACGAACGCUGGCGGCGUGCUUAACACAUGCAAGUCGAACGGUGAAGGUGGAGCUUGCUCUGCUGGAUCAGUGGCGAACGGGUGAGUAACACGUGAGUAACCUGCCCCUCACUUCGGGAUAACCUCGGGAAAUCGUGGCUAAUACCGGAUACGAGGCACCUUCGCAUGGGGUGUGCCUGGAAAGAUUUAUCGGUGGGGGAUGGACUCGCGGCCUAUCAGCUUGUUGGUGGGGUAAUGGCCCACCAAGGCGACGACGGGUAGCCGGCCUGAGAGGGCGACCGGCCACACUGGGACUGAGAUACGGCCCAGACUCCUACGGGAGGCAGCAGUGGGGAAUAUUGCACAAUGGGCGCAAGCCUGAUGCAGCGACGCCGCGUGGGGGAUGAAGGCCUUCGGGUUGUAAACCCCUUUCAGCAGGGAAGAAGCGAGAGUGACGGUACCUGCAGAAGAAGCGCCGGCUAACUACGUGCCAGCAGCCGCGGUAAUACGUAGGGCGCAAGCGUUGUCCGGAAUUAUUGGGCGUAAAGAGCUCGUAGGCGGUUUGUCGCGUCUGGUGUGAAAACUCAAGGCUCAACCUUGAGCUUGCACCGGGUACGGGCAGACUAGAGUGCGGUAGGGGUGACUGGAAUUCCUGGUGUAGCGGUGGAAUGCGCAGAUAUCAGGAGGAACACCGAUGGCGAAGGCAGGUCACUGGGCCGCAACUGACGCUGAGGAGCGAAAGCAUGGGGAGCGAACAGGAUUAGAUACCCUGGUAGUCCAUGCCGUAAACGUUGGGCACUAGGUGUGGGGCUCAUUCCACGAGUUCCGUGCCGCAGCAAACGCAUUAAGUGCCCCCCGCCCUGGG
Molecule: ribosomal RNA, 854 nt
Filed under: Flavimobilis soli
Lineage: Bacteria; Bacillati; Actinomycetota; Actinomycetes; Micrococcales; Jonesiaceae
Description: bacterial SSU rRNA
Rfam family: Bacterial small subunit ribosomal RNA
Source: RNAcentral